GACGUAGGGCGCGAGCGUUGUCCGGAUUUAUUGGGCGGAAAGAGCUCGUAGGCGGCUUGUCACGUCGGGUGUGAAAGCCCGGGGCUUAACCCCGGGUCUGCAUUCGAUACGGGCAGGCUAGAGUGUGGUAGGGGAGAUCGGAAUUCCUGGUGUAGCGGUGAAAUGCGCAGAUAUCAGGAGGAACACCGGUGGCGAAGGCGGAUCUCUGGGCCAUUACUGACGCUGAGGAGCGAAAGCGUGGGGAGCGAACAGG
This 253-nucleotide ribosomal RNA is filed under the name uncultured bacterium. Its description in RNAcentral is "partial 16S ribosomal RNA". It matches the Rfam family "Bacterial small subunit ribosomal RNA", at positions 524 to 776 of the family's 1533-position model. The record is from RNAcentral.